UUCUCUUCCUCCUCAAAAUCCAUGAGAAUUAAGCCAGUAAUAACAUAAAAUUAAACUUCUGUGAUGUUUUGCAGGAUACUGAGCUCUCAAUUUACUCAUAUUUCAUAAUAACAGAGAGAACCCUGUUCUCUUUCUAAAACACAACAGUUAAAACCUCUGUGUUUUCCAGGAAUUUUCUCUUCAAGGGACACAUGCUUUUUUGCCAUGUUUGGGAAUUUUACUGGGGCAGGGACUGCAGUUCAGCCAAAUCCAGAAACAACUGAAGUAUCCAACCCAUGUAACCAGAGAAUGGAUAAACCGAUUGUGGCGACUUUUCACAGUGGAAUAAUCCUCAGCAAUAGAGAGGAAUGAAUGACUAUACAUGAAACAACUGAGAUGAACCUCAGAAGCUUUAUGUUGAGCAAAAGAAGCCAGAUACAAAAAACUGAAACCAAAGAAAUCAGAAGUCUUCAGGAGCUAAGUUGUUAACUAAGAGAAACCAACAGAAGCAAAGCA
This is a long non-coding RNA of Phyllostomus discolor (pale spear-nosed bat), 495 nucleotides long. RefSeq lists it as uncharacterized. The record is from RefSeq and is a predicted model, not a curated record. Lineage: Eukaryota; Metazoa; Chordata; Mammalia; Chiroptera; Phyllostomidae. The transcript has 3 exons.